This 255-nucleotide ribosomal RNA is filed under the name uncultured bacterium. RNAcentral's name for it is "partial 16S ribosomal RNA". It matches the Rfam family "Bacterial small subunit ribosomal RNA", at positions 524 to 776 of the family's 1533-position model. The record is from RNAcentral.
UACGUAGGGAGCAAGCGUUGUCCGGAUUUAUUGGGCGUAAAGAGCUCGUAGGCGGCUUAGAAAGUCGGGUGUGAAACCUCCAGGCUCAACCUGGAGACGCCACUCGAUACUUCUAUGGCUUGAGUUCGGUAGGGGACCAUGGAAUUCCUGGUGUAGCGGUGAAAUGCGCAGAUAUCAGGAGGAACACCGGUGGCGAAGGCGGCCCUCUGGACGGUGACUGACGCUGAGACGACGAAAGCGUGGGGAGCAAACAGG